CAGCCUGAUGCAGCCAUGCCGCGUGUAUGAAGAAGGCCUUCGGGUUGUAAAGUACUUUCAGCGGGGAGGAAGGGAGUAAAGUUAAUACCUUUGCUCAUUGACGUUACCCGCAGAAGAAGCACCGGCUAACUCCGUG
RNAcentral lists this ribosomal RNA (136 nucleotides) under Escherichia albertii. RNAcentral's name for it is "partial 16S ribosomal RNA". It matches the Rfam family "Bacterial small subunit ribosomal RNA", at positions 379 to 507 of the family's 1533-position model. Lineage: Bacteria; Pseudomonadati; Pseudomonadota; Gammaproteobacteria; Enterobacterales; Enterobacteriaceae. The record is from RNAcentral.